Molecule: long non-coding RNA, 454 nt
Organism: Folsomia candida
Lineage: Eukaryota; Metazoa; Arthropoda; Collembola; Entomobryomorpha; Isotomidae
Exons: 3
Source: RefSeq, a predicted model, not a curated record
AAAACAAAUAUUUAAAAGAUAAACUGCUUGAUUCUAAACGUAUUACUUAUUACUAUUAAAAUUCCAUAACGUCGUAACAUAAAUAUUCAAUGUCUGGAUCUUGGCAAACGCAUUUUUAGUUAAACAAAACUUCAAACCUUCCCAAGGUUUAUCAAUAUACUGCCUAUUACGUUUACGACACACGGGUCGUGUACCUAUCGUGGAGUUUGUGGCUAGGCUGAGAAUUGUGACACGCUCUGGGUCGAUAAAUCCUGUAGACUGCGGCUCUCUAUCCCUCUUCCCUGCUCCAACAUAUCCAAAGGGCAUCGAGAUCUGUGGGUGGCAACUAGUGAGGUUCCCCUCCUUAGCUACAAUCAGCUCAACUAAAACCCCUUACCGUGCAACACAUCUAACACACUUUUAUUAGGAAAUAAACACCUCAAAUUUUUAAUUUUCGGCCUUGAUAUUUAUCAAA